Molecule: non-coding RNA, 300 nt
Organism: Pelobates cultripes (western spadefoot toad)
Lineage: Eukaryota; Metazoa; Chordata; Amphibia; Anura; Pelobatidae
Source: the annotation of a GenBank genome assembly
CAUCUUUCCUUUCAGACUGUUUUGGGAAAACCUGCCCUGGUGUAGGAAAAUCAUAAUAAGGAGGGUAUUUAGAGGUAUCUCUUUCUUGUAUUUUUGUGCAACUUUUUGGCACAUAGUGAUGACUACUAACCUCACUGUCUGAUUUAUGACUCUCCUUUUUGUAUUCUUCCAAUUGCUUUUUAAGCUGAUUUAUUUCCUGUGCACAUUUAUCCAUCAUAGCUUUCAGUUCUUUUUCGUGAUCAGCCUGACGGGUUUCAUGCUCAGCAAUUAAAUCUUGGUAUUUCCCACUUUGAAUAUCCA